Molecule: ribosomal RNA, 468 nt
Filed under: uncultured bacterium
Lineage: Bacteria
Description: partial 16S ribosomal RNA
Rfam family: Bacterial small subunit ribosomal RNA
Source: RNAcentral
GACGAACGCUGGCGGCGUGCUUAACACAUGCAAGUCGAACGGAAAGGCCCUGCUUUUGUGGGGUGCUCGAGUGGCGAACGGGUGAGUAACACGUGAGUAACCUGCCCUUGACUUUGGGAUAACUUCAGGAAACUGGGGCUAAUACCGGAUAGGAGCUCCUGCUGCAUGGUGGGGGUUGGAAAGUUUCGGCGGUUGGGGAUGGACUCGCGGGUUAUCAGCUUGUUGGUGGGGUAGUGGCUUACCAAGGCUUUGACGGGUAGCCGGCCUGAGAGGGUGACCGGCCACAUUGGGACUGAGGUACGGCGCAGACGCCUACGGGAGGCAGCAGUGGGGAAUAUUGCACAAUGGGCGGAAGCCUGAUGCAGCAACGCCGCGUGCGGGAUGACGGCCUUCGGGUUGUAAACCGCUUUCGCCUGUGACGAAGCGUGAGUGACGGUAAUGGGUAAAGAAGCACCGGCUAACUACGUG